CCGGACCUGACUGCUAUCGGAUUGGUACUAAGCCAUGCGAGUCAUUGUAGCAAUACAAGGCGGACGGCUCAGUAACACGUAGUCAACCUAACUCGUGGACGUGGAUAACCUCGGGAAACUGAGAAUAAACCACGAUAGAUCAUAGUGCCUGGAAUGGCUUAUGGUCCAAACAGUUUACUGCCAUGGGAUGGGACUGCGGCCUAUCAGCUUGUUGGUGAGGUAAUGGCCCACCAAGGCGAUUACAGGUACGGGCUCUGAGAGGAGAAGCCCGGAGAUGGGUACUGAGACACGGACCCAGGCCCUAUGGGGCGCAGCAGGCGAGAAACCUUAGCAAUGUGCGAAAGCACGACUGGGUCAGUCCGAGUGAUUCCUGAUAAAGGAGUCUUUUGCCUGUCCUAAAAGCACAGGUGAAUAAGGGGUGGGCAAGUCUGGUGUCAGCCGCCGCGGUAAUACCAGCACCUCGAGUGGUCAGGACGUUUAUUGGGCCUAAAGCAUCCGUAGCCGGCUCUGCGAGUCUUCGGUUAAAUCCACCUGCUCAACAGAUGGGCCGCUGGAGAUACUACAGAGCUAGGGAGUGGGAGAGGCAGACGGUAUUCAGUGGGUAGGGGUAAAAUCCUCUGAUCCAUUGAGGACCACCAGUGGCGAAGGCGGUCUGCCAGAACACGUUCGACGGUGAGGGAUGAAAGCUGGGGGAGCAAACCGGAUUAGAUACCCGGGUAGUCCCAGCUGUAAACGAUGCAAACUCGGUGAUGCAUUGGCUUAUGGCCAAUGCAGUGCCGCAGGGAAGCCGUUAAGUUUGCCGCCUGGGAAGUACGGACGCAAGUCUGAAACUUAAAGGAAUUGGCGGGGGAGCACACAAGGGUGAAGCCUGCGGUUCAUUGGAUUCAACGCCGG
RNAcentral lists this ribosomal RNA (894 nucleotides) under uncultured archaeon. RNAcentral's name for it is "bacterial SSU rRNA". It matches the Rfam family "Archaeal small subunit ribosomal RNA", at positions 17 to 921 of the family's 1478-position model. The record is from RNAcentral.